AUGGCCGCCGAAGAAACUCUGCGCCGACGCCAUGGACAUCGUGCCCUUGAGCAGCAGCGCUUGAGCGCUCCUCCACCUCGUGCCCCCACCUCGUCAGAUCCGCCACCGGCAGCAGCAGCAACUCCAUCUCGUUGUUUUCCGAACAGGAGGAGCCCCGUCCCCUCCAUGGAUUUGACCACCGCCGCCGGAGUUCAACUCAAUGGCCUCCCCGCGGCCUCGCACGUCCACGUCGCCGACGGCAACAGCAGUAGGGAGCCCGUCAUGGCGUCCUUGAGGUGUUCAGGCAGCAGUAGCGCCUCAAGCUCUCCGCUCGGAUCCGUGCUUCCGCAGCCGCCUGGAGCUCCAACCUCCGCCGGAUCUCACCGUCCCCUCGCCCUUCGACGGAUCCGAGUCCAGGCGCUCGUCCCCGUCUUCCCGGCCUCCUCAGCGCCGGUUGCAGCAUCGAGUAGCAUCCCAGAACGAGACGACCAGCGCUGCCCCCUUGUUGACUUGGUCCAGCGCUACCGUGGACAAGGGCCACAUCGAUCGAGCGGCCCUGCUACUACCUCUCCAGAUCUGGGCUUGGCCCAUGGGUGA
Molecule: ribosomal RNA, 576 nt
Filed under: Triticum aestivum (bread wheat)
Lineage: Eukaryota; Viridiplantae; Streptophyta; Magnoliopsida; Poales; Poaceae
Description: partial small subunit ribosomal RNA
Source: RNAcentral